Molecule: ribosomal RNA, 465 nt
Filed under: uncultured bacterium
Lineage: Bacteria
Description: partial 16S ribosomal RNA
Rfam family: Bacterial small subunit ribosomal RNA
Source: RNAcentral
GACGAACGCUGGCGGCGUGCUUAACACAUGCAAGUCGAACGGAAGGGCCCUGCUUGCAGGGUACUCGAGUGGCGAACGGGUGAGUAACACGUGGGUGAUCUGCCCUGCACUUCGGGAUAAGCCUGGGAAACUGGGUCUAAUACCGGAUAGGAGCCAUUUUUAGUGUGAUGGUUGGAAAGUUUUUUCGGUGUAGGAUGAGCUGGCGGCCUAUCAGCUUGUUGGUGGGGUAAUGGCCUACCAAGGCGGCGACGGGUAGCCGGCCUGAGAGGGUGGACGGCCACAUUGGGACUGAGAGACGGCCCAGACACCGACGGGAGGCAGAAGGGGGGAAUAUUGCACAAUGGGCGCAAGCCUGAUGCAGCGAGGCCGCGUGGGGGAUGACGGCCUUCGGGUUGUAAACUCCUUUCGCUAGGGACGAAGCUUUUUGUGACGGUACCUAGAGAAGAAGCACCGGCUAACUACGUG